GGGUAGGUUCCGGAGUGGUCAAACGGGGCAGACUGUAAAUUUGCUGGCUCACGCCUUCGCUGGUUCAAGUCCAGCCCUGCCCACCA
This 86-nucleotide transfer RNA is filed under the name Verrucomicrobiaceae bacterium. RNAcentral describes it as "tRNA-Tyr". It matches the Rfam family "tRNA". From Rfam's summary of the family: Transfer RNA (tRNA) molecules are approximately 80 nucleotides in length. Their secondary structure includes four short double-helical elements and three loops (D, anti-codon, and T loops). The record is from RNAcentral. Lineage: Bacteria; Pseudomonadati; Verrucomicrobiota; Verrucomicrobiia; Verrucomicrobiales; Verrucomicrobiaceae.